RNAcentral lists this transfer RNA (66 nucleotides) under Lamoria adaptella. RNAcentral describes it as "tRNA-His". The record is from RNAcentral. Lineage: Eukaryota; Metazoa; Arthropoda; Insecta; Lepidoptera; Pyralidae.
ACUUAAAUAAUUUAAUAUAAAAUAUUGAUUUGUGGAGUCAAAAAUAUGAAUUAUUCAUUUUAGGUU